Molecule: ribosomal RNA, 502 nt
Filed under: uncultured bacterium
Lineage: Bacteria
Description: partial 16S ribosomal RNA
Rfam family: Bacterial small subunit ribosomal RNA
Source: RNAcentral
AUUGAACGCUGGCGGAAUGCUUUACACAUGCAAGUCGAACGGCAGCACGGGUGCUUGCACCUGGUGGCGAGUGGCGAACGGGUGAGUAAUACAUCGGAACGUACCCUGACGUGGGGGAUAACGUAGCGAACGUUACGCUAAUACCGCAUACGUCCUGAGGGAGAAAGCAGGGUAUGGUAAGACCUUGCGCGUUAGGAGCGGCGGCUGGCGGAUUAGCUAGUUGGUAGGGUAAAGGCCUACCAAGGCGACGAUCCGUAGCGGGUCUGAGCGGACGACCCGCCACACUGGAACUGAGACUCGGUCCAGACUCCUACGGGAGGCAGCAGUGGGGAAUUUUGGACAAUGGGCGAAAGCCUGAUCCAGCCAUUCCGCGUGAGUGAAGAAGGCCUUCGGGUUGUAAAGCUCUUUCGGCAGGGAAGAAACGGUUUUGGAUAAUACCCAGAACUAAUGACGGUACCUGAAGAAGAAGCACCGGCUAACUACGUGCCAGCCGCCGCAGUAA